RNAcentral lists this ribosomal RNA (497 nucleotides) under uncultured bacterium. Its description in RNAcentral is "partial 16S ribosomal RNA". It matches the Rfam family "Bacterial small subunit ribosomal RNA", at positions 28 to 507 of the family's 1533-position model. The record is from RNAcentral.
GAUGAACGCUGGCGGCGUGCCUAAUACAUGCAAGUCGAGCGGACAGACGAGGAGCUUGCUGCUCUGACGUUAGCGGCGGACGGGUGAGUAACACGUGGAUAACCUACCUAUAAGACUGGGAUAAUUUCGGGAAACCGGAGCUUAUACCGUAUAAUAUAUUGAUCCGCGUGGGGCGAUAGUGAGAUACGGUUUUGCUGGCACUUAUCGAUGGAUCUGCGCCGCAUUAGCUAGUUGGUAAGGUAACGGCUUACCAAGGCAACGAUGCGUAGCCGACCUGAGAGGGGGAUCGGCGACAUGGGAACUGAGACGCGGUCCAGACUCCUACGGGAGGCAGCAGUAGGGAAUCUUCCGCAGUGGGCGAAAGCCUGACGGAGCAACGCCGCGUGAGUGAUGAAGGUCUUCGGAGCGUAAAACUCUGUUAUUAGGGAAGAACAAAUGUGUAAGUAGCUAUGCACGGCUUGACGGUACCUAAUAAGAAAGCCACGGCUAACUACGUG